Molecule: ribosomal RNA, 491 nt
Filed under: uncultured bacterium
Lineage: Bacteria
Description: partial 16S ribosomal RNA
Rfam family: Bacterial small subunit ribosomal RNA
Source: RNAcentral
GUGAAAGCUGGCGGUAGGCCUAACACAUGCAAGUCGAACGGGAGCACAGUAAGUGCUUGCUCUUACGGGUGGCGAGUGGCGGACGGGAGAGGAAUACAUCGGAAUCUACUAUUUCGUGGGGGAUACCGUAGGGAAACUUACGCUACUACCGCAUACGACCUACGGGUGAAAGCAGGGGAUCUUCGGACCUUGCGCGAUUGAAUGAGCCGAUGUCGGAUGAGCUAGUUGGCGGGGUAAAGGCCCACCAAGGCGACGAUCAGUAGCUGGUGUGAGAGGAUGAUAGGCCGCACUGGAACUGGGACACGGUCCAGACUCCUACGGGAGGCAGCAGUGGGGAAUAGUGGGCAAUGGUCGGAAGCCUGGUCCAGCCAUACCGCGUGUGUUAAGAAGGCCUUCGGGUUGUAAAGCCCUUUUUUUGGGAAAGAAAAGCAGCAGGUUAAGACCCCGCUGUUCUGACGGUACCCAAAGAAUAAGCACCGGCUAACUUCGUG